GCCUGGCUGGCUCAAUUAGUAGAGCAUGUGACUCUUGAUCUCAGGGUUGUGAGUUUGAGUCCCACGUUGGGCA
This 73-nucleotide transfer RNA is filed under the name Canis lupus familiaris (dog). It matches the Rfam family "tRNA". Rfam says of the family: Transfer RNA (tRNA) molecules are approximately 80 nucleotides in length. Their secondary structure includes four short double-helical elements and three loops (D, anti-codon, and T loops). The record is from Rfam by way of RNAcentral. RNAcentral also lists the same sequence under 1 other name. Lineage: Eukaryota; Metazoa; Chordata; Mammalia; Carnivora; Canidae.